This 1069-nucleotide ribosomal RNA is filed under the name Salmonella enterica subsp. enterica serovar Kedougou. Its description in RNAcentral is "partial 23S ribosomal RNA". It matches the Rfam family "Bacterial large subunit ribosomal RNA", at positions 460 to 1530 of the family's 2925-position model. The record is from RNAcentral. Lineage: Bacteria; Pseudomonadati; Pseudomonadota; Gammaproteobacteria; Enterobacterales; Enterobacteriaceae.
CCAAGGCUAAAUACUCCUGACUGACCGAUAGUGAACCAGUACCGUGAGGGAAAGGCGAAAAGAACCCCGGCGAGGGGAGUGAAAAAGAACCUGAAACCGUGUACGUACAAGCAGUGGGAGCACAGGUUUACCUGUGUGACUGCGUACCUUUUGUAUAAUGGGUCAGCGACUUAUAUUCUGUAGCAAGGUUAACCGCAUAGGGGAGCCGGAGGGAAACCGAGUCUUAAUUGGGCGUUAAGUUGCAGGGUAUAGACCCGAAACCCGGUGAUCUAGCCAUGGGCAGGUUGAAGGUUGGGUAACACUAACUGGAGGACCGAACCGACUAAUGUUGAAAAAUUAGCGGAUGACCUGUGGCUGGGGGUGAAAGGCCAAUCAAACCGGGAGAUAGCUGGUUCUCCCCGAAAGCUAUUUAGGUAGCGCCUCGUGAAUUCAUCUCCGGGGGUAGAGCACUGUUUCGGCUAGGGGGCCAUCCCGGCUUACCAACCCGAUGCAAACUGCGAAUACCGGAGAAUGUUAUCACGGGAGACACACGGCGGGUGCUAACGUCCGUCGUGAAGAGGGAAACAACCCAGACCGCCAGCUAAGGUCCCAAAGUCAUGGUUAAGUGGGAAACGAUGUGGGAAGGCCCAGACAGCCAGGAUGUUGGCUUAGAAGCAGCCAUCAUUUAAAGAAAGCGUAAUAGCUCACUGGUCGAGUCGGCCUGCGCGGAAGAUGUAACGGGGCUAAACCAUGCACCGAAGCUGCGGCAGCGACGCUUAUGCGUUCGUUGGGUAGGGGAGCGUUCUGUAAGCCUGUGAAGGUGGCCUGUGAGGGUUGCUGGAGGUAUCAGAAGUGCGAAUGCUGACAUAAGUAACGAUAAAGCGGGUGAAAAGCCCGCUCGCCGGAAGACCAAGGGUUCCUGUCCAACGUUAAUCGGGGCAGGGUGAGUCGACCCCUAAGGCGAGGCCGAAAGGCGUAGUCGAUGGGAAACGGGUUAAUAUUCCCGUACUUGGUGUUACUGCGAAGGGGGGACGGAGAAGGCUAUGUUGGCCGGGCGACGGUUGUCCCGGUUUAAGCGUGUAGGUGUGUG